UUCCAGACUCCUACGGGAGGCAGCAGUGGGGGAUAUUGCACAAUGGGGGGAACCCUGAUGCAGCGACGCCGCGUGGGUGAAGAAGCGCCUCGGCGCGUAAAGCUCUAUCAGCAGGGAAGAAAAUGACGGUACCUGACUAAGAAGCCCCGGCUAACUACGUGCCAGCAGCCGCGGUAAUACGUAGGUGGCAAGCGUUAUCCGGAUUUACUGGGUGUAAAGGGCGUGUAGGCGGGGACGCAAGUCAGAUGUGAAAACCAUGGGCUCAACCUGUGGCCUGCAUUUGAAACUGUGUUUCUUGAGUACUGGAGAGGCAGACGGAAUUCCUAGUGUAGCGGUGAAAUGCGUAGAUAUUAGGAGGAACACCAGUGGCGAAGGCGGUCUGCUGGACAGCAACUGACGCUGAGGCGCGAAAGCGUGGGGAGCAAACAGGAUUAGAUACCCGCGUAU
RNAcentral lists this ribosomal RNA (447 nucleotides) under uncultured bacterium. Its description in RNAcentral is "bacterial SSU rRNA". It matches the Rfam family "Bacterial small subunit ribosomal RNA", at positions 329 to 793 of the family's 1533-position model. The record is from RNAcentral.